This is a small nucleolar RNA of Pteronotus mesoamericanus, 79 nucleotides long. RefSeq annotates it as small nucleolar RNA SNORD115. The record is from RefSeq and is a predicted model, not a curated record. The transcript has a single exon. NCBI's taxonomy places the organism in Eukaryota, Metazoa, Chordata, Mammalia, Chiroptera, Mormoopidae.
GUGUCAGUGAUGAGAACUUACGGUCUUGAAGAGAGAUGAUGACUUAAAAAUGAUGCUUAUUAUGUUCGUGCUGAGGCCC